RNAcentral lists this ribosomal RNA (398 nucleotides) under uncultured eukaryote. RNAcentral describes it as "partial small subunit ribosomal RNA". It matches the Rfam family "Eukaryotic small subunit ribosomal RNA", at positions 30 to 432 of the family's 1831-position model. The record is from RNAcentral.
GCUUGUCUCAAAGAUUAAGCCAUGCAUGUCUAAGUAUAAACGAUUUUAUACGUGAAACUGCGAAUGGCUCAUUAUAUCAGUUAUAGUUUAUUUGAUGGUCCUUACUAUUUGGAUAACCGUAGUAAUUCUAGAGCUAAUACAUGCAUCAAGCCCUGACUUCGGAAGGGGUGUAUUUAUUAGAUACAAUCAAACGCACCAACAUAAAACCUUGGUGAUUCAUAAUAACUGUUCGGAUCGUAUGGCUUUUUGCCGACGACAGAUCAUUCAAAUUUCUGCCCUAUCAGCUUUCGACGGUACUGUAGUGGACUACCGUGGCAUUAACGGGUGACGGAGAAUUAGGGUUCGAUUCCGGAGAGGGAGCCUGAGAAAUGGCUACCACAUCCAAGGAAGGCAGCAGG